AAGUACAUAUAUCAUAGAUAGAAUGAUUUUCUACAAGUUCAAACUCUCUUACACAACAAAAAGUAUUCUUCUGCUCUCUUUUCUCUAGUUACUUGCUAUUUUUCUAAGUCAGCCGGCUACAAGCCAAGGCUGAUUACUCUACUCUCUUGCCCCUCACUUUGUGUUUACUUCUUUACUGGUAUGUUCUGAUUUCUAUUCAAGUUUCAAAAUAAUAUUUUUCUUUUACUGCUUCAGUAUAUCUUGUUUCUAGAAUGCUUUCACUUAUGGUUUUGUCG
This 275-nucleotide long non-coding RNA is filed under the name Nicotiana benthamiana. RNAcentral's name for it is "long non-coding RNA (NBEN_LNC032044)". The record is from RNAcentral. Lineage: Eukaryota; Viridiplantae; Streptophyta; Magnoliopsida; Solanales; Solanaceae.